RNAcentral lists this transfer RNA (69 nucleotides) under Scopura longa. RNAcentral's name for it is "tRNA-Trp". Lineage: Eukaryota; Metazoa; Arthropoda; Insecta; Plecoptera; Scopuridae. The record is from RNAcentral.
AAGGCUUUAAGUUAAUCAAACUAAUAGCCUUCAAAGCUAUCAAUAAAGUCCAAUAUUCUUUAAGCUUUA